GGAUUGUGGCUCAGCGGUAGAGCACUCACCUAGCAUGUGUGAGGCCCUGGGUUCCAUCCUCAGCACCA
This 68-nucleotide transfer RNA is filed under the name Marmota monax (woodchuck). RNAcentral describes it as "tRNA.Ala". The stretch from base 5 to 65 matches the Rfam family "tRNA", at positions 6 to 65 of the family's 71-position model. Rfam says of the family: Transfer RNA (tRNA) molecules are approximately 80 nucleotides in length. Their secondary structure includes four short double-helical elements and three loops (D, anti-codon, and T loops). Lineage: Eukaryota; Metazoa; Chordata; Mammalia; Rodentia; Sciuridae. The record is from RNAcentral.